CUUUUCUUGUAUAAAUAUGAAGUAUGACCUGCCCACUGAUAAUUUAAAUGGCCGCGGUAUUUUGACCGUGCAAAGGUAGCAUAAUCAUUAGUCUUUUAAUUGGAGGCUGGAAUGAAUGGUUAGACGAAAUAAAUACUUUCUUAUUAUUAAUUUAUUUGAAUUUAAUUUUUGAGUUAAAAAGCUUAAAUUUUUUUUUGGGACGAGAAGACCCUAUAGAGUUUAUAUAGUUAUAUAUGAUUGAAAGUGUUUGAUAUAGUUGCAAUUUAAGUAAGUAUUUUAUUGGGGUGAUGGGAAGAUAAUUAUAACUCUUUUUAUUGAAAUAUAUUUAUUUAUAUGGUUUUGAUCCAGUAUUAUUGAUUAUAAGACUAAAUUACC
This 375-nucleotide ribosomal RNA is filed under the name Epilampra sp. BL44. RNAcentral describes it as "partial 16S ribosomal RNA". Lineage: Eukaryota; Metazoa; Arthropoda; Insecta; Blattodea; Blaberidae. The record is from RNAcentral.